CAGCAGCCGCGGUAAUACGAGGGGGGCAAGCGUUGUUCGGAAUUAUUGGGCGUAAAGGGUGCGUAGGCGGUUUGGCAAGUUUGGUGUGAAAUCUUCGGGCUCAACUCGAAGUCUGCAUCGAAAACUGCCGGGCUUGAGUAUGGGAGAGGUGAGUGGAAUUUCCGGUGUAGCGGUGAAAUGCGUAGAUAUCGGAAGGAACACCUGUGGCGAAAGCGGCUCACUGGACCAUAACUGACGCUGAUGCACGAAAGCUAGGGGAGCAAACAGGAUUAGAUACCCCGGUAGUCCCUGUCUCUUAUAA
This 301-nucleotide ribosomal RNA is filed under the name uncultured bacterium. RNAcentral's name for it is "partial 16S ribosomal RNA". It matches the Rfam family "Bacterial small subunit ribosomal RNA", at positions 509 to 809 of the family's 1533-position model. The record is from RNAcentral.